UCAAGUGAAGAAGCGCAUACGGUGGAUGCCUUGGCAGUCAGAGGCGAUGAAAGACGUGGUAGCCUGCGAAAAGCUUCGGGGAGUCGGCAAACAGACUUUGAUCCGGAGAUGUCUGAAUGGGGGAACCCAGCCAUCAUAAGAUGGUUACCUUACACUGAAUACAUAGGUGUAUGGAGCGAACCAGGGGAACUGAAACAUCUAAGUACCCUGAGGAAAAGAAAUCAACCGAGAUUCCCUUAGUAGUGGCGAGCGAACGGGGACUAGCCCUUAAGUGGCUUUGAGAUUAGCGGAACGCUCUGGAAAGUGCGGCCAUAGUGGGUGAUAGCCCUGUACGCGAAAAUCUCUUAGUCAUGAAAUCGAGUAGGACGGAGCACGAGAAACUUUGUCUGAAUAUGGGGGGACCAUCCUCCAAGGCUAAAUACUACUGACUGACCGAUAGUGAACUAGUACCGUGAGGGAAAGGCGAAAAGAACCCCGGAGAGGGGAGUGAAAUAGAUCCUGAAACCGUAUGCGUACAAGCAGUGGGAGCCCACUUUGUUGGGUGACUGCGUACCUUUUGUAUAAUGGGUCAGCGACUUAUUUUCAGUGGCGAGCUUAACCGAAUAGGGGAGGCGUAGCGAAAGCGAGUCUUAAUAGGGCGUCUAGUCGCUGGGAAUAGACCCGAAACCGGGCGAUCUAUCCAUGGGCAGGUUGAAGGUUGGGUAACACUAACUGGAGGACCGAACCGACUACCGUUGAAAAGUUAGCGGAUGACCUGUGGAUCGGAGUGAAAGGCUAAUCAAGCUCGGAGAUAGCUGGUUCUCCUCGAAAGCUAUUUAGGUAGCGCCUCAUGUAUCACUGUAGGGGGUAGAGCACUGUUUCGGCUAGGGGGUCAUCCCGACUUACCAAACCGAUGCAAACUCCGAAUACCUACAAGUGCCGAGCAUGGGAGACACACGGCGGGUGCUAACGUCCGUCGUGAAAAGGGAAACAACCCAGACCGUCAGCUAAGGUCCCAAAGUUAUGGUUAAGUGGGAAACGAUGUGGGAAGGCUUAGACAGCUAGGAGGUUGGCUUAGAAGCAGCCACCCUUUAAAGAAAGCGUAAUAGCUCACUAGUCGAGUCGGCCUGCGCGGAAGAUGUAACGGGGCUCAAACCAUACACCGAAGCUACGGGUAUCACGUAAGUGAUGCGGUAGAGGAGCGUUCUGUAAGCCUGUGAAGGUGAGUUGAGAAGCUUGCUGGAGGUAUCAGAAGUGCGAAUGCUGACAUGAGUAACGAUAAUGGGUGUGAAAAACACCCACGCCGAAAGACCAAGGUUUCCUGCGCAACGUUAAUCGACGCAGGGUUAGUCGGUCCCUAAGGCGAGGCUGAAAAGCGUAGUCGAUGGAAAACAGGUUAAUAUUCCUGUACUUCUGGUUAUUGCGAUGGAGGGACGGAGAAGGCUAGGCCAGCUUGGCGUUGGUUGUCCAAGUUUAAGGUGGUAGGCUGGAAUCUUAGGUAAAUCCGGGAUUCUAAGGCCGAGAGCUGAUGACGAGUUAUCUUUUAGAUGACGAAGUGGUUGAUGCCAUGCUUCCAAGAAAAGCUUCUAAGCUUCAGGUAACCAGGAACCGUACCCCAAACCGACACAGGUGGUUGGGUAGAGAAUACCAAGGCGCUUGAGAGAACUCGGGUGAAGGAACUAGGCAAAAUGGCACCGUAACUUCGGGAGAAGGUGCGCCGGUGAGGGUGAAGGACUUGCUCCGUAAGCUCAUGCCGGUCGAAGAUACCAGGCCGCUGCGACUGUUUAUUAAAAACACAGCACUCUGCAAACACGAAAGUGGACGUAUAGGGUGUGACGCCUGCCCGGUGCCGGAAGGUUAAUUGAUGGGGUUAGCUAACGCGAAGCUCUUGAUCGAAGCCCCGGUAAACGGCGGCCGUAACUAUAACGGUCCUAAGGUAGCGAAAUUCCUUGUCGGGUAAGUUCCGACCUGCACGAAUGGCGUAACGAUGGCGGCGCUGUCUCCACCCGAGACUCAGUGAAAUUGAAAUCGCUGUGAAGAUGCAGUGUAUCCGCGGCUAGACGGAAAGACCCCGUGAACCUUUACUAUAGCUUUGCACUGGACUUUGAAUUUGCUUGUGUAGGAUAGGUGGGAGGCUUUGAAGCGUGGACGCCAGUUCGCGUGGAGCCAACCUUGAAAUACCACCCUGGCAACUUUGAGGUUCUAACUCAGGUCCGUUAUCCGGAUCGAGGACAGUGUAUGGUGGGUAGUUUGACUGGGGCGGUCUCCUCCUAAAGAGUAACGGAGGAGUACGAAGGUGCGCUCAGACCGGUCGGAAAUCGGUCGUAGAGUAUAAAGGCAAAAGCGCGCUUGACUGCGAGACAGACACGUCGAGCAGGUACGAAAGUAGGUCUUAGUGAUCCGGUGGUUCUGUAUGGAAGGGCCAUCGCUCAACGGAUAAAAGGUACUCCGGGGAUAACAGGCUGAUACCGCCCAAGAGUUCAUAUCGACGGCGGUGUUUGGCACCUCGAUGUCGGCUCAUCACAUCCUGGGGCUGAAGCCGGUCCCAAGGGUAUGGCUGUUCGCCAUUUAAAGUGGUACGCGAGCUGGGUUUAGAACGUCGUGAGACAGUUCGGUCCCUAUCUGCCGUGGACGUUUGAGAUUUGAGAGGGGCUGCUCCUAGUACGAGAGGACCGGAGUGGACGAACCUCUGGUGUUCCGGUUGUCACGCCAGUGGCAUUGCCGGGUAGCUAUGUUCGGAAUAGAUAACCGCUGAAAGCAUCUAAGCGGGAAACUAGCCUCAAGAUGAGAUCUCACUGGAACCUUGAGUUCCCUGAAGGGCCGUCGAAGACUACGACGUUGAUAGGUUGGGUGUGUAAGCGCUGUGAGGCGUUGAGCUAACCAAUACUAAUUGCCCGUGAGGCUUGACCAU
Molecule: ribosomal RNA, 2890 nt
Filed under: Triticum dicoccoides
Lineage: Eukaryota; Viridiplantae; Streptophyta; Magnoliopsida; Poales; Poaceae
Description: bacterial LSU rRNA
Rfam family: Bacterial large subunit ribosomal RNA
Source: RNAcentral